GUGAGGAAUAUUGGACAAUGGAUGGAAAUCUGAUCCAGCCAUGCCGCGUGCAGGAAGACGGCCCUAUGGGUUGUAAACUGCUUUUGUAUGGGAGCAAUAAGAUCUACGUGUAGAUUGAUGAGAGUACCAUACGAAUAAGCACCGGCUAACUCCGUGCCAGCAGCCGCGGUAAUACGGAGGGUGCAAGCGUUAUCCGGAUUUAUUGGGUUUAAAGGGUGCGUAGGCGGUUUGAUAAGUCAGCGGUGAAAUAUUUCAGCUUAACUGGAAGGGUGCCGUUGAUACUGUCGAGCUUGAAUUUAGUUGCUGUGGGUGGAAUGUGUGGUGUAGCGGUGAAAUGCAUAGAUAUCACACAGAAUAUCGAUUGCGAAGGCAGCUCACAAAGCUAAUAUUGACGCUGAUGCACGAAAGUGUGGGGAUCAAACAGGAUUAGAAACCCGUGUAGUCC
RNAcentral lists this ribosomal RNA (445 nucleotides) under uncultured bacterium. RNAcentral describes it as "bacterial SSU rRNA". It matches the Rfam family "Bacterial small subunit ribosomal RNA", at positions 354 to 796 of the family's 1533-position model. The record is from RNAcentral.